AAGUCGUAACAAGGUUUCCGUAGGUGAACCUGCGGAAGGAUCAUUAUCGAGUUAGGGUCCUCGUGGCCCAACCUCCAACCCUUGUGUUUAAUCAUACCACGUUGCUUCGGCGGGCCCGUCCUCACGGACCGCCGGAGGGUGUUUGUUCACCCUCUGGCCCGCCGCCCGUCGAUGGCCUAACACAAAAUUCUUUGUCUAAUCUUGAUUGUCUGAGUGAAAAUUUUAAUUAAAGCAAAACUUUCAACAACGGAUCUCUUGGUUCUGGCAUCGAUGAAGAACGCAGCGAAAUGCGAUAAGUAAUGCGAAUUGCAGAAUUUCAGUGAGUCAUCGAAUCUUUGAACGCACAUUGCGCCCUUUGGCAUUCCGAAGGGCAUGCCUGUUCGAGCGUCAUUAACACCCCUCAAGCCUGGCUUGGUGUUGGACUCGUGGUCUGCUGGCCCCUUCGGGGUGCGUGACCGGUCCCAAAAACAAUGACGGCGUCCAGAGGACCCUCAGUGCAACGAGCUUUUCAUCGAGCACGCAUUGAGUUGCAAGGUCUCUCUGGCACGGUCUUGACCUUUUUUACUUCUAAGGUUGACCUCGGAUCAGGUAGGAAUACCCGCUGAACUUAA
Molecule: ribosomal RNA, 611 nt
Filed under: uncultured fungus
Lineage: Eukaryota; Fungi
Description: eukaryotic LSU rRNA
Rfam family: 5.8S ribosomal RNA (bases 236-390)
Source: RNAcentral